GCAGGCAGAGAGGAGAGACGGUGCGGGUGAGCGGAUAGGUGUUUUAGCAGCAAAUGGAGCGGAAAACACAACCAAAAAUUUUAGGUUUCUUCACGCGACGAAGCCGGCCUACUUCACCCUCUGCGUCGCCUCGUCCCCCCCCCAAACUCCACCACCAGCAACUCCUCCACCGCCAGAUCCCCAGCUAUCCUCUAAACACAGAGGCAGUGGGUGGAACCCGGAGUGGGCUAGAGACCCCAAAUAUGCAGGAUUUACCAUACCGAACACGGAAUGUUUUGCAGACUAUGUAGAAUGCACCGUCAAAGGGCAUCACGUGGUCCCUCUCAAAGGCCGUUCAUAGAUGUCCUCUGCAGUAACUACAGACGUGAUGCCUUGGACUCGCACUUGAGCUCAGCUAAUCACGUUUCGUGUGUGGGCAUUGCAGCCCAAUCAAGCCGAAGUACACAGACAAGGAGGGAGAGAUGUUCUGUCAAUUCCUGGACCUUGUACCCAUUCCAGAUGGCACAGCUACAACUACAGCUGAAGCUGUGAAGGAGGUCAUGACACAAAAAGAGAUUCACCGGGACCACAUCUUUGACCUUGGAACAGAUGGAGCCGCAGUGAUGACCGGUAAACAGAAUGGCACAGCAAAAUUGCUGACUGACUCCUGGCCAGGAUUAGUGUCGGUGCACUGUGCUGCUCAUCGCCUGGCACUAGCAUGUAAAGAUGCAACAGAUGGAGUGCCAUAUAUGAAAAUCUU
Molecule: long non-coding RNA, 739 nt
Organism: Entelurus aequoreus (snake pipefish)
Lineage: Eukaryota; Metazoa; Chordata; Actinopteri; Syngnathiformes; Syngnathidae
Exons: 5
Source: RefSeq, a predicted model, not a curated record